Molecule: non-coding RNA, 3355 nt
Organism: Lolium perenne
Lineage: Eukaryota; Viridiplantae; Streptophyta; Magnoliopsida; Poales; Poaceae
Source: RefSeq, a predicted model, not a curated record
GUUUUUCUGUGUGAACUGAUUGGGUGCUCUGUAAGAAUUUUAGUGAGCCUUAGAAUUAUUGUGGUGCUGCCACAUUGGCAGUCAUUAUUGCUUCUCUUUGUUCAUAUACUACUUGUAUGGUGGGCUGGAUGGAGACGUUGAUCGGGUGGCUGUAGCUCGGAAAUGGUUUGGGACAUUGUGUCGGUGCGGUGUCUGUCUUUCACUUCCCAUUGUGUUUGGUGGGCCCAUGUACUUAAUAUUUGUGCAAGGGUCGCACCGCUUUGACUUAAUCUGGAAGGCUCACUUAUCUCCCUCUCAAGUCCCUAGGCCAAAAAAGAAACAAAACAGAAAACUCUCGAGCCGACGAGCCCCACUGCGUCACCACCGCGGAUCCUCCCCUACCCCCGCUAUCCUCAGCCUGCGGUGGCGACGAAUCGCAAGGGCGGCAUGGACAGCAGCCCUAGCCCCAUCCGCACCUCUACCUAGGUCGCCGUCUCCCGAACUUGCGUCCAUCCUCUCGCCCACGUCCCCUUCAGUGCCGCCGCCCUACCUAAUCCCUCCAUCUCGCUUAGCAUCCGGCGGCGAGGAUAGGCAGCGCACACGCGGAGCAUCAGCGGCGGCUGGCGCGUCCUUGGUUCUGCUCCGUCCGGCGCGUCCUCCCCGCGGUUACUUCUUCCUCCACGGCAAGCGACAGCGGAGGAUAGCGGUAGGUCACGUCCAGCGCCGCGUCUCCUCCUCUUCCGCCUCCCCGCCAUCCGGUGCUCGGCCGCGCCCUUACGCACGCGCCCAGGAAACCCUGGCCCCUCCCUGGGAUUGGUCGUCGGCACUUCUCCGACGCCGCUGCACAUCCGGCUACUCCUCCCCGUGGAGCACGACUUCCUCUACUUCGUGUGCACCUCUUCCUCGACGUCCCCGAGCUCCUGCUACUGCCUGAUGGGAUGGCCGUGGCCUCCCGCAUCUUAGUGCGGUGGCCAAAGAAAUCACAGUAGCGAGGAGGAGCUUGAGUUGCAGCUUCAGGACAACGGGCUUCACCGAUUUGCUGCUCUUGUGAUAUUUUUAGGAGAAGAUGUUCCUGACGAGAAACACCCCUUGGGUAUGCUACUAAAUUUUUGUCUCCUAGAUUUGUGUGGUUUGUUUUUUCGCUCCUCGUGGUGGUGCUCUCGAUCUGUCCGUCCAGCAGUUCUGUGGUGCCAGCGCUGCUGGUGCCUAUGUGGAUUUGAUGGUUGCUGUGCCUCUGCGUUUCAGACCUCAACAAGAAGAUGUGUCAUGGGUAACGGUAACAGAAAAGAGGAAAGAAAGAACGAUGCCGUGAUUUAUUCACUACUAUCAUGGGUAACAGUUUAGCACAUGAUCUUGCUCAUCCUCAUAUCCAUGAGACCAUAAGGGACAAUUAUAUCUUAUUUCUUCCAUCAUUUGCUUUUAUACCAGUCCCGACAAAUAUUAAACCUGCAAAAGUGCCAUUCAUCACACUUUCACUACAUCUACAUGCCUCUGCAGGUACAUUUGUCAUCUUAAAUAUUAUCUCAAUCCUUCAUGGCCCAUUGAUCAUACAUCGAACUUCUCCAAUUUAAUCAGUUUUAGCUUUAUUUAUAAACAAGAUGAGAAGAUUUAUCAGUUUAUCAGCCUGGCCGAGCUACUGAAAAAGUGAAAAUACUGCAAUUCUUGGGUUACUGGCUUCAUGGAAAAAUUGAUAGGCAAUAUGCAAGCACAAGUAUCAAGAGGGUAGCUCGAGGUCUUUUCAACUUGGUAGCGAUGGCCGCGAUCAGUCUUGAUGUAACAGAUGGGGACGGUGCACCGACCUGGAGUACUUGACUGUUUAUGGUACAUCUCGCUGCGCCCUGCAUGUAUAGCAGGCAUUAUGGAUCUGUUUGUCCUAUUAUUUAGUGUAUACUUCGCACACAGGAUAUGCUUUCAAAUGGUAUUAUCAUUGGGUCAUUGGGUAAGUCGUUCCUGCUAUUGGCUUUCUGCUAAAGUUGCGAUUUCUAUGAAUUGAAUCAAAUUGGCACGAAUUGCCAAAACUGAAUCUGAAAUGUAGUCAUGUAUAAAGGGAGAUUACAUAGAGUAUAUAUAGAAAUGCUCCGCUGGUGCAAAAUAAAUACAUGUUACUGGAACCCAUCAGUACAUAAUUCAGAUAGGCUGAAUGGUAACACAUAAGUUGAAUCGGAAAAAGCACAGCUAGCGAGUGCUCGCUGUGUGAAACAUAUUUGCCAGUUCUCGGUUGAAAGCAUAUACCUUCUGCUUGCUACUAAUGACUAUCAAUUUUGGUUAUUAAAUCUUAGUUGAAAGGCAGGUAAUCCCUACUUGUGACAACUACUUAUUAAGUGAGGCUGGUGCAAUGGGUUAAACCUCAUCGAACUCUCCUGAGAUGACGCCUGCUCUAUCCAGAUGCUACUACACAAGUAAUGAAUCAAUUUGUUGCUGAACAUAGAAGACAAGAUGAUGGAGCGACCAAUGUUGGUGUGGACAACAAAGGUAGUUGAUGAUAGAAGUAAGCACGUGCUGGUUUCAUAUUGGUUUCAGAAGAACAAGCACACGAUCACAUAGUGUCAAAAUAGCAUAAGGACAAAGCGUCUAUAUUUUCUUAGUUUUGGUUUUCGAGAGAAUUAUAUCCUCAUUAAAGUCACAAGCCACACCAGCCCCGGCCUUCCCAGGAAAUCAUUUCUCUACCAUGGAUAGUAAGGAUGAUGACAAUAGGCGCUGAAGAACUAUGCAAAGGAAAGAAGAACUGUUCUGGUGUCUCGUUUUUGUGCAGAAAUCCAACUUUCGGGAAAAUCCUCGGAAUUUAUGCAGAAGGCCCUAUUUUCCCAGAAUACUGACGGAGCCAGAAGGUCAAGUAAGGUGGAGGCCCGAGGGCCCCACACCAUAAGGUGGCGCGGCCUAGGGGGGGCCCGCGUGGCCCUAUGGUGUGGCCCCCUCGGCCGGCCCCCGACGCCCUCCUUCGGACUACUUAUCGGCCUCGACCUAAAAACGCACGGAGAGAAGUCGAAGUCGCCAGAAACCCUCCAGAACGCCGCCACAUCGCGAAACUCCGUCGCGGGAGCCAGAAGUCUCCGUUCUGGCACUCCGCCGGGACGGGGAAUUGGAGGAGAUCAUCGCCAUCAUCACCGCCAACGCCUCUACAUCAACCAGCCAUGUUUCCCCCAUCCAUGUGUGAGUAAUUCCCCCGCUGUAGGCCAAAGGGGAUGGUAGGGAUUGGAUGAGAUUGGUCAUGUAAUAGCAUAAGAUUGUUAGGGCAUAGUGCCUAGUGUCCGUAAUUGGUACUUUGAUGAUAUUGUUGCAACUUGCUAUGCUUAAUGCUUGUCACUAGGGCCCGAGUGCCAUGAUCUCAGAUCUGAACAUGUUAUUGUUUCAUCAUGAUAUUCAUUGUUAUAUGAUC